GAUUGCUAUAGGUAGCAGGAAUGCCUCACAGUAGGCAGAAUUCCAUCACCAUAAACCCAAAUGUGUCUCCUACAAGAAAAAGGGGUGACCUAAAGAAGCAGUUCCCCCAAAACAUCUUCCAGCCUGAAAUCCUCUGGGGCACUUUGCUAAGAGUGAAGCCUCUGUGCUUCCCACAUCAGUAAGAUUGUGACAUCUGUAAGAUUCAGGGUUGGCUUCUCUGAACUUUCAACCCAGCCCUCUGAGAACUGUUUCACCUGGACCCCAUCCCCACCCUGUCUCCUGCAGGGGGUCAGCCCACCUGAGGCAUGUGUGUGAAGUAUCUGGAAGGGGUGGU
This 334-nucleotide long non-coding RNA is filed under the name Homo sapiens (human). Its description in RNAcentral is "non-protein coding lnc-FBXO32-1:1". Lineage: Eukaryota; Metazoa; Chordata; Mammalia; Primates; Hominidae. The record is from RNAcentral.